Non-coding RNA from Puntigrus tetrazona (Sumatra barb), 2375 nucleotides. Lineage: Eukaryota; Metazoa; Chordata; Actinopteri; Cypriniformes; Cyprinidae. The record is from the annotation of a RefSeq genome assembly.
CACUGAAUAACUGCACUACAUAUGUUUCACAUAUAUUCUUGUUCAAGCAGUAAUUAUACCGUUCAGGAUAAAUCUAUUUAUUAUUUAGUGGUGAAACUAUAGUACUGUAAAAUUGCCAUUCAUUACAUUAAAUUAUAGAAAAACCAUUGCAAGACUGUUUAUUAUUCAGUUUAUUAUUAAUGCUUUACUGUUUAUUUCUCUUUGUGAAAAGGGUAAGAAAAAGAUUAAAGGGUAAAUAUUACAAUAAAAUUCAUAUACAUAAGCAGCGAUUUCAGUAACUACUAACUGACCUACUAACUACUAAAGGCUUAGUGGCUAAUUAAUGUACAUUAGUGAUAAAUUGGUAUUAAUCUCACUUCUCAGUCUCAUUUGCAUCAUUCCAUUAAAUGUAGAGGUCUGACAAGAGAAGGGCUUUCAUGUUUAACUCAUACGAAAUACUAAAAUACUCAUAUAAAAUUGCUAUGUUUUCCUGUGAGAUAAGGUUGGACAGUUUUAUUCAUAAUCCAUCAAUUUCAGACAAACCAGCAAACGAUUAAAUAAUAUCUACAUCUACAGAAUUAAGUCACCAAUGAUUUUUAGGACAUAGCUCUUUAGAACUAGCCUGAAUAGGUAAAGGCAAAUUUUCAGAGUGAAUUUAUUCAUUUAAUUGUUCUUCCCUUAUUUUCCCAACAUAUUGCAUGUCUCUCAAUUAUAUAGGCAACAGUGUGAAUAUGUUUAGUUUUUAGUCACUAAUACUAUGUCAAUAAGUUAUAUGCAAAAGUAAAAUCAUGAGUGUUCAUAUAUAUAUAUAUAUAUAUAUAUAUACAUAGUAUAUUCUUUUUUUUUUUUUUUGUGUGUGUUUGUUUUUCUCACAACGGGUUCAGCAAUGUGUCAGGAGGUGGAGCUCUAAGGUUGGUUUGACUUAUUUUCUAAUGUGGAUUCACAUCGUCACUGUCAGAGAGCCAACCAACAUGUGCCUUGCUGUCUUUCUCAUUUUAGUUCUUCAUACAGGGAAAAUCCUGACAAACAUGAUAACAUCCCAUGACUCACAAAAACAAGUUUUAGAAGGUAAAAAUGUAACACUCACAUGUAACUACAGUGGAGUACCUGAUAAUCUCCACUGGUACCGUCAAUAUCCCGGAUCUGUGCCAAAGUUCCUCCUCUACAUCUAUGAAAGUGGGAUAAAGAGUGACAACAUACCAAAGCGUUUAACACCAAGAAUUACAAAGAACACAAAACAAGUGGACCUGGAGAUCUCUUCUGCUGCAGUGACAGACUCUGCUGUGUAUUACUGCGCUCUGAGGCCCACAGUGACAGGAAACAAAGCUAUGCUGUACGAAAACACCAACAUGAGUGGAGCACUGUGAAUAUACACAAACAUAUACGCUUUGCAGCUGUUUAAUACAUGACAAUUUGAUUUAUAUACACACUAACCCAUGUGCUGAAUCAGUUCAGAUGAUGUGUGUGUGUGUGUGUGUGUGUGAAGAUGUGUUAUCACUGUGCUUUGAUGUUACAGAAUAAUUCAUUUCUAGCACAGUUCUAGUAUAAACUGAUAUGCAUUUCUUUCUGUAUUAAUGUGUUACCAUUGAAUUACAGAGGAAUCACUAAACCUGACGUAGGUACCAGUCAAAUUAGGACAUAAUGAGUCUGUGGUUACACCUGCAGCUGUCUGAAACUAAAAUAGACAUGUACGUUAAAGCUAUACAUCCACUUUUUUUUUUGUCAAAAGGGAAAACACACAGAAAUGGCUACACACGCACUUCAAAAAUUAAACACUGAAAUUAAAUCGAUAUAAAACAUCUAUAUAGAAUAUUUUAAAAAGUACGCUUAAUUGAUAACAAAAAAAACAAAAUUUAAAAUGUAAAAUUCAGCAAUUAUUUUACAACAUGUACUUCCACCCAAAAUCAUUCAUUUUCUGAAACAUUUAAACCUUAGACAAUAACAUAUGUGAACUGUUUUUAUUAAGGUAAUUAUGGACAUUAUCGAUAAAAGUGGACAUUUCCAGUAAAGCAAGAAGAAAAUGCAAUGCACUGCAGAAUCUUCUUGCAGAUUUUUUUUAGACUGUGGGUGGAGCUUUGAGACAGAGUCAUGAAAGCAUUUCAUUUCAGUUUUAUUAACGGUGCAGUCAUGACGUUCCUGUGUAUUCUAAGUCUGCUGUUAGUAAUACAGGGUAAGUAAAAGUUUAUACGUAUACACAUAUGUGUCUGUGUGUGUAGUAAAAAUUUAACUGUGUCCUAUGGUGCGACAGAAAAAAAAAUGUAGAAAACAUACAAAUAACAUGAGAAAAAUGUGUCUUCUACUUCUUUACAAGUGUAGAGAGGUUUAUGUUCAACGUUAGAGGGUUUUUUGUUUUUACAUUUUUGCUGUCACUCCAUAGGACAAAUUGAUAGGCCAAC